UAUCCAUGGAUUGGGGAAUUCAGAGCCUCAUAAGUGGUGGAGCACUCUGCCCCAGGGAUUCAGAGCAAGAAAUAGUUUUGUAGAGCCUUAGAAGCAGCCCAGGAUGAGCUGGGAAGUCAGGGAUUUCUUCACAAGGCUGGCAGAGUUCUCAGACAAGUGAAUUUCAAGGAAAAUAGUAUCAAAAUGGUUAUACAUAUGCUAUCAUUGCUGAUAUCAUGUGGAAUUCACUGAGCAGAACCAAUGAUGUCUUCCUGCAAAGCUCAGGAAAUACUGCCAAGGGACAGAGGCUCAGAGUGGUCACCCAGCUGUGCAGCUUCUGUGGUUGCUCAUAUUGAGAAGAAUGUGGGUGGGUCAGACCUGAAGAUGAUUCUUGUGCAGCUUCUUUUGGCAACUCUGAUGCUGUGGAUCCUUUCCAGCAGGCACAGUAGUACAUGGCUUCGUCUUCUUCUUGUAAGAAAUUUAUACUCAAAGUUGAUGUGGAAGUAACGGCAUUUUUACUUGCCUCAAGUUUGUUUUUCCUCCCAUCUAAAGAAGCUUGAGUAGAGCUUGUUUGGACCAUUAUUAGAUGUUCUAUCUCCUGAUCUGGUUUGUGUCGGUACCAGUGUAUAACUUCACUGUUAAAAUCCUCAGUGAUCACCUUGCAUGAUAUGCGAGCAGUCUUAUCUCUUGCUCUGGAAACUGAUAUUUCAUGUUGUUCUAACUUCACCUGCCCAAGGCCAACUGCAAGCAAAGAAGAGAAACUCCAGUGAACAAAUGAUAUGGGAAAAGGCAACAAUAAAUAAUUUCUCAAGUCUCUCCUGUAGACUCAUAUGACUUGGGGACAACUUACAAGUCCAGAGGGAUGAGAUGAUGAUCACUUCCAGCAGUAGCAUCCUGUUGACCUGGCUAGCUCCCCAGGGUACAAGAACCCUGGAAAACAAAGUCUUAGAGGCAUAUCUAUCAUGCUGGAGGCACUUGAUUUGCUCAGGGGCAAGUUCCAAUGGCUCAAUCCUGGUUUUGUCCCAGUAUGGAUCUUGAAUGUGGAGUAAGGUUGUUCCAAUUUCACCUGCCCAAGGCCAACUGCAAGCAAAGAAGAGAAAUUUCCAUGAACAAAUAUUAUAGGAAAGGCAACAAUAAAGAGUUUCUUGAAUCUCUUCUGUGACUGACAUGACUUGGGGACAACUCACAAGCCCAGAGGGGUAAGAUGAUGACCGCUUCCAGCAGUAGUAUCCUGUUGGCCUGGCUGGAUCCCCAGCAAAAAGAGCAGAGAUCUAUAAGGGCAUAAUUAUUAUUCAAGAGGAAAUUUUAAAACACCUGAAUCAGAUCAAGAUAAUUCUGUGCUGUGCCCUCUGUCCUUCUAUGAAACCUUUCCUGGAGCAGGGGCAGGGAGAGCUCAUGGAAGUUGCUUCUGUAAUUGUGUGUCAACAUCAAAUUGACUUGAUUGAAAGCACGUCAACUAUUAACGUGACUGAGGCUUGAGGCUUGAAAGUUUAUGUGAUUUAACCAAGUUCAGAAGAAAUAAUACAGCAGAACACGGGAUGAAUGAAACAGUUUACAACAGCCUGUAUUUUCAUGGUCUAC
Long non-coding RNA from Canis lupus familiaris (dog), 1560 nucleotides. RefSeq lists it as uncharacterized. The record is from RefSeq and is a predicted model, not a curated record. Lineage: Eukaryota; Metazoa; Chordata; Mammalia; Carnivora; Canidae. The transcript has 5 exons.